AAAGUGUUGUGUACUCACUGAAUCCUCUCGAUAUUCCUUGGAGGUAGAUGCUUUUAUGAUUCCCAGAAGGCAGAACUAGGAACAAAGGAUGGAAGGGGCAGAGGAGCAGUUUUUGGCUUGGUGGAGGACCCACUUUCCAACACAGAUGAAUUCAAGUCACCUUAUCCAGAUGAAGUACAACCUUAAGGUGCUGAAAGAACUUGCAAGCAUGAUGAUUGGGCCAUCAUUACUGAUAUGUGAAAGAUAAUGAAAAAUGAAUGCUCCUGGGGAAAAAGAUAGACUUCUGGAUUGUCUUCUUAGAAUAUCAGGGCUUGCUGUGGGUGCUGGUGAAGGUUGAGAGUGUCCAGUGGCUCUGGAAAGAAGUCAAGAAGAAUGGGAGAGACUGGUGGAAAGCCACUGGGAGCUCUCUUCUCAUGUCUGCUCCUGCUUGAGGACAAUGCCAGGGAGUGGAGGUCACAGCAAUGGAACAUUGAGUUUGGAGAGAAGACUUGGGGGAACGUGAAAGCUGACUUCAAGGAUUAGAAAGACUGUCAUCUGGAAGAGGAUUAGACUUAAUUCAGUUUUCCCUCCGAGCACCAGAACCAGUAAAAAGAAAAAAAAAAAAACUCAGAGAAGCCAAUUUAG
Vombatus ursinus (common wombat) is the source of this 624-nucleotide long non-coding RNA. RefSeq lists it as uncharacterized. The record is from RefSeq and is a predicted model, not a curated record. Lineage: Eukaryota; Metazoa; Chordata; Mammalia; Diprotodontia; Vombatidae. The transcript has 4 exons.